RNAcentral lists this long non-coding RNA (287 nucleotides) under Elaeis guineensis (African oil palm). Its description in RNAcentral is "long non-coding RNA (EGUI_LNC074917)". The record is from RNAcentral. Lineage: Eukaryota; Viridiplantae; Streptophyta; Magnoliopsida; Arecales; Arecaceae.
AAAUUCAAACUUUAUUUUAAAUUUGAAUGGCCAACCAAUCAUCCUUAUCCAUUCAUAUGGCACAUUAAAGUGGGGCGUGGAGAGGACUUGGCAUGAGAAAAAAAUUUAUGAGAAGUUCCUUCUCAUGAAUUCAAAUGGGUGCAAUGGAAGUGAGGUGGCGCAUGGAGAUUGGGUCAAGGUGGUUUAAUUAUUUAAACCAACCUAAUUGAACCAAAUAAGUUAGGUCCAAUUAGACUAAUUUAAACCCAACUUAAUUAGGCUUAAUUAGGCUCAAUAAAAUCCUAAUC